This 301-nucleotide ribosomal RNA is filed under the name uncultured bacterium. RNAcentral's name for it is "partial 16S ribosomal RNA". It matches the Rfam family "Bacterial small subunit ribosomal RNA", at positions 509 to 809 of the family's 1533-position model. The record is from RNAcentral.
CAGUAGCCGCGGUAAUACAGAGGGUGCAAGCGUUAAUCGGAAUUACUGGGCGUAAAGCGCGCGUAGGUGGUUCGCCAAGUUGGAUGUGAAAUCCCCGGGCUCAACCUGGGAACUGCAUCCAAAACUGGCGAGCUAGAGUAUGGUAGAGGGUGGUGGAAUUUCCUGUGUAGCGGUGAAAUGCGUAGAUAUAGGAAGGAACAUCAGUGGCGAAGGCGACCACCUGGACUGAUACUGACACUGAGGUGCGAAAGCGUGGGGAGCAAACAGGAUUAGAUACCCCAGUAGUCCCUGUCUCUUAUAA